UGUAUAAUGGGUCAGCGACUUAUAUUCUGUAGCAAGGUUAACCGAAUAGGGGAGCCGAAGGGAAACCGAGUCUUAACUGGGCGUUAAGUUGCAGGGUAUAGACCCGAAACCCGGUGAUCUAGCCAUGGGCAGGUUGAAGGUUGGGUAACACUAACUGGAGGACCGAACCGACUAAUGUUGAAAAAUUAGCGGAUGACUUGUGGCUGGGGGUGAAAGGCCAAUCAAACCGGGAGAUAGCUGGUUCUCCCCGAAAGCUAUUUAGGUAGCGCCUCGUGAAUUCAUCUCCGGGGGUAGAGCACUGUUUCGGCAAGGGGGUCAUCCCGACUUACCAACCCGAUGCAAACUGCGAAUACCGGAGAAUGUUAUCACGGGAGACACACGGCGGGUGCUAACGUCCGUCGUGAAGAGGGAAACAACCCAGACCGCCAGCUAAGGUCCCAAAGUCAUGGUUAAGUGGGAAACGAUGUGGGAAGGCCCAGACAGCCAGGAUGUUGGCUUAGAAGCAGCCAUCAUUUAAAGAAAGCGUAAUAGCUCACUGGUCGAGUCGGCCUGCGCGGAAGAUGUAACGGGGCUAAACCAUGCACCGAAGCUGCGGCAGCGACGCUUAUGCGUUGUUGGGUAGGGGAGCGUUCUGUAAGCCUGUGAAGGUGUGCUGUGAGGCAUGCUGGAGGUAUCAGAAGUGCGAAUGCUGACAUAAGUAACGAUAAAGCGGGUGAAAAGCCCGCUCGCCGGAAGACCAAGGGUUCCUGUCCAACGUUAAUCGGGGCAGGGUGAGUCGACCCCUAAGGCGA
RNAcentral lists this ribosomal RNA (791 nucleotides) under Escherichia coli. RNAcentral describes it as "partial 23S ribosomal RNA". It matches the Rfam family "Bacterial large subunit ribosomal RNA", at positions 609 to 1399 of the family's 2925-position model. Lineage: Bacteria; Pseudomonadati; Pseudomonadota; Gammaproteobacteria; Enterobacterales; Enterobacteriaceae. The record is from RNAcentral.